Molecule: ribosomal RNA, 253 nt
Filed under: uncultured bacterium
Lineage: Bacteria
Description: partial 16S ribosomal RNA
Rfam family: Bacterial small subunit ribosomal RNA
Source: RNAcentral
GACAGAGGCCUCGAGCGUUAGGCGGAAUCACUGGGCUUAAAGCGUGUGUAGGCGGAUCGUUAAGUACCUUGUGAAAUCCCACGGCUCAACCGUGGAACGGCUGGGUAUACUGGCGGUCUUGGGCCAUUCAGGGGCGACUGGAACAAGCGGUGGAGCGGUGAAAUGCGUAGAUAUCUGGAGGAACACCGGUGGCGAAGGCGGCAUCCUGGACCGACAUUGACGCUGAGGCGCGAAAGCCAGGGGAGCAAACGGG